This 503-nucleotide ribosomal RNA is filed under the name uncultured bacterium. RNAcentral's name for it is "partial 16S ribosomal RNA". It matches the Rfam family "Bacterial small subunit ribosomal RNA", at positions 30 to 523 of the family's 1533-position model. The record is from RNAcentral.
AUUGAACGCUGGCGGCAGGCUUAACACAUGCAAGUCGAGCGGGGUGAUGGUGCUUGCACUAUCACUUAGCGGCGGACGGGUGAGUAAUGCUUAGGAAUCUGCCUAUUAGUGGGGGACAACAUCUCGAAAGGGAUGCUAAUACCGCAUACGUCCUACGGGAGAAAGCAGGGGAUCACUUGUGACCUUGCGCUAAUAGAUGAGCCUAAGUCGGAUUAGCUAGUUGGUGGGGUAAAGGCCUACCAAGGCGACGAUCUGUAGCGGGUCUGAGAGGAUGAGACGCCACACUGGGACUGAGACACGGCCCAGACCCCUACGGGAGGCAGCAGUGGGGAAUAUUGGACAAUGGGGGGAACCCUGAUCCAGCCAUGCCGCGUGUGUGAAGAAGGCCUUAUGGUUGUAAAGCACUUUAAGCGAGGAGGAGGCUCUUUUGGUUAAUACCCAAGAUGAGUGGACGUUACUCGCAGAAUAAGCACCGGCUAACUCUGUGCCAGCCGCCGCCGUAA